This 236-nucleotide ribosomal RNA is filed under the name uncultured bacterium. RNAcentral describes it as "partial 16S ribosomal RNA". It matches the Rfam family "Bacterial small subunit ribosomal RNA", at positions 100 to 334 of the family's 1533-position model. The record is from RNAcentral.
CGGCACGGGUGAGUAACACGUAUCCAACCUGCCGUCUACUCUUGGACAGCCUUCUGAAAGGAAGAUUAAUACAAGAUGGCAUCAUGAGUCCGCAUGUUCACAUGAUUAAAGGUAUUCCGGUAGACGAUGGGGAUGCGUUCCAUUAGAUAGUAGGCGGGGUAACGGCCCACCUAGCCUUCGAUGGAUAGGGGUUCUGAGAGGAAGGUCCCCCACAUUGGAACUGAGACACGGUCCAA